Molecule: ribosomal RNA, 563 nt
Filed under: Calliscelio sp. OSUC 248070
Lineage: Eukaryota; Metazoa; Arthropoda; Insecta; Hymenoptera; Scelionidae
Description: SSU rRNA
Rfam family: Eukaryotic small subunit ribosomal RNA
Source: RNAcentral
AAUUACCCACUCCCGGCACGGGGAGGUAGUGACGAAAAAUAACGAUACGGGACUCAUCCGAGGCCCCGUAAUCGGAAUGAGAACACUUUAAAUCCUUUAUCGAGGAUCCAUUGGAGGGCAAGUCUGGUGCCAGCAGCCGCGGUAAUUCCAGCUCCAAUAGCGUAUAUUAAAGUUGUUGCGGUUAAAAAGCUCGUAGUUGAAUCUGUGUGUUACGCUGUCGGUUCACCGCUCGCGGUGUUUAACUGAUGUGCUCGUAGCACGUCCUACCGGUGGACUUAGCUUUUGGCUCUUCGUGGGUCGAGGCGGUCCUAUUUUAAUCCCAUCGCGGUGCUCUUUACCGAGUGUCGAGGUGGGCCGGUACGUUUACUUUGAACAAAUUAGAGUGCUUAAAGCAGGCUAUUUCGCCUGAAUAUUGUGUGCAUGGAAUAAUGGAAUAGGACCUCGGUUCUAUUUUGUUGGUUUUCGGAACUCCGAGGUAAUGAUUAAUAGGGACAGAUGGGGGCAUUCGUAUUGCGACGUUAGAGGUGAAAUUCUUGGAUCGUCGCAAGACGAACAGAAGCGAA